GCGCCCGUAGCUCAGCUGGAUAGAGUACCUGGCUUCGAACCAGGUGGUCGGGAGUUCGAAUCUCUCCGGGCGCG
RNAcentral lists this transfer RNA (74 nucleotides) under Boseongicola sp. Its description in RNAcentral is "tRNA-Arg". It matches the Rfam family "tRNA". From Rfam's summary of the family: Transfer RNA (tRNA) molecules are approximately 80 nucleotides in length. Their secondary structure includes four short double-helical elements and three loops (D, anti-codon, and T loops). Further hydrogen bonds mediate the characteristic L-shaped molecular structure. tRNAs have two regions of fundamental functional importance: the anti-codon, which is responsible for specific mRNA codon recognition, and the 3' end, to which the tRNAs corresponding amino acid is attached (by aminoacyl-tRNA synthetases). tRNAs cope with the degeneracy of the genetic code in two manners: having more than one tRNA (with a specific anti-codon) for a particular amino acid; and 'wobble' base-pairing, i.e. permitting non-standard base-pairing at the 3rd anti-codon position. Lineage: Bacteria; Pseudomonadati; Pseudomonadota; Alphaproteobacteria; Rhodobacterales; Paracoccaceae. RNAcentral also lists the same sequence under 5 other names. The record is from RNAcentral.